GUGAUACUCAGGAGACACACGGUGGGUGCUAACGUCCAUCGUGGAGAGGGAAACAACCCAGACCGCCAGCUAAGGUCCCAAAGUCUAUAUUAAGUGGGAAACGAAGUGGGAAGGCUUAGACAGCUAGGAUGUUGGCUUAGAAGCAGCCACCAUUUAAAGAAAGCGUAAUAGCUCACUAGUCGAGUCGGCCUGCGCGGAAGAUGUAACGGGGCUCAAAUAUAGCACCGAAGCUGCGGCAUCAGACGAAAGUCUGUUGGGUAGGGGAGCGUUGUGUAAGUCGAUGAAGGUGGAUUGAGAAGUCUGCUGGAGAUAUCACAAGUGCGAAUGCUGACAUAAGUAACGAUAAAACGAGUGAAAAACUCGUUCGCCGGAAGACCAAGGGUUCCUGUCCAACGUUAAUCGGGGCAGGGUGAGUCGGCCCCUAAGGCGAGGCUGAAAAGCGUAGUCGAUGGGAAACGGGUUAAUAUUCCCGUACUUGUAAUAACUGCGAUGUGGGGACGGAGAAGGUUAGGUUAGCAGACUGUUGGAUGUCUGUUUAAGCCGGUAGGUGGGAAGAUUAGGCAAAUCCGGUCUUCCUUAACACCGAGAAGUGAUGACGAGUCUCUACGGAGAUGAAGUAAUCGAUACCACGCUUCCAGGAAAAGCCACUAAGCUUCAGGUUAUUAUAAACCGUACUAUAAACCGACACAGGUGGUCAGGUAGAGAAUACUCAGGCGCUUGAGAGAACUCGGGUGAAGGAACUAGGCAAAAUAGCACCGUAACUUCGGGAGAAGGUGCGCCGGCGUAGAUUGUAGUCCCUUGCGGAUGAAGGUUGAACCGGUCGAAGAUACCAGCUGGCUGCAACUGUUUAUUAAAAACACAGCACUCUGCAAACACGAAAGUGGACGUAUAGGGUGUGAUGCCUGCCCGGUGCUGGAAGGUUAAUUGAUGGUGUUAUCGCAAGAGAAGCUCCUGAUCGAAGCCCCAGUAAACGGCGGCCGUAACUAUAACGGUCCUAAGGUAGCGAAAUUCCUUGUCGGGUAAGUUCCGACCUGCACGAAUGGCAUAAUGAUGGCCAGGCUGUCUCCACCCGAGACUCAGUGAAAUUGAAAUCGCCGUGAAGAUGCGGUGUACCCGCGGCUAGACGGAAAGACCCCGUGAACCUUUACUAUAGCUUGACACUGAACAUUGAAUUUUGAUGUGUAGGAUAGGUGGGAGCCUUUGAAGCAGUCACGCCAGUGAUUGUGGAGGCGUCCUUGAAAUACCACCCUUUAACGUUUGAUGUUCUAACGAAGAUUGCGGAACGCGGUCUCGGACAGUGUCUGGUGGGUAGUUUGACUGGGGCGGUCUCCUCCCAAAGAGUAACGGAGGAGCACGAAGGUUUGCUAAUCACGGUCGGACAUCGUGAGGUUAGUGCAAUGGUAUAAGCAAGCUUAACUGCGAGACAGACAAGUCGAGCAGGUGCGAAAGCAGGUCAUAGUGAUCCGGUGGUUCUGAAUGGAAGGGCCAUCGCUCAACGGAUAAAAGGUACUCCGGGGAUAACAGGCUGAUACCGCCCAAGAGUUCAUAUCGACGGCGGUGUUUGGCACCUCGAUGUCGGCUCAUCACAUCCUGGGGCUGAAGUAGGUCCCAAGGGUAUGGCUGUUCGCCAUUUAAAGUGGUACGCGAGCUGGGUUUAGAACGUCGUGAGACAGUUCGGUCCCUAUCUGCCGUGGGCGUUGGAGAAUUGAGAGGGGCUGCUCCUAGUACGAGAGGACCGGAGUGGACGCAUCACUGGUGUUCCAGUUGUCUCGCCAGAGGCAUUGCUGGGUAGCUACAUGCGGAAGAGAUAAGUGCUGAAAGCAUCUAAGCACGAAACUUGCCUCGAGAUGAGUUCUCCCACACUAUAAGUGUGUAAGGGUUGUUGGAGACUACGACGUAGAUAGGCUGGGUGUGUAAGUGUUGUGAGACAUUGAGCUAACCAGUACUAAUUGCCCGAGAGGCUUAACUAU
This 1970-nucleotide ribosomal RNA is filed under the name Mannheimia haemolytica. RNAcentral describes it as "partial 23S ribosomal RNA". It matches the Rfam family "Bacterial large subunit ribosomal RNA", at positions 970 to 2925 of the family's 2925-position model. The record is from RNAcentral. Lineage: Bacteria; Pseudomonadati; Pseudomonadota; Gammaproteobacteria; Pasteurellales; Pasteurellaceae.